Pelobates cultripes (western spadefoot toad) is the source of this 201-nucleotide non-coding RNA. Lineage: Eukaryota; Metazoa; Chordata; Amphibia; Anura; Pelobatidae. The record is from the annotation of a GenBank genome assembly.
GUCGACUGCCACCUUGUCAUUGUUGACAUUUUUCACACUGUCAAUAUGUCCUGAUCCAUAAAGGUGAUGUUUAUUCCUGCCAUGCGCAUCAUUUAAGUUUUGCUUUAUAUCUUUGCAGAUGAAACAGGUUGGAAAAGAACUUAGAUAAAACCACGGGUUCUGCCUUUUAACGGUAAAUCCUUUAUCAUUUCAAUGAAGUCA